RNAcentral lists this ribosomal RNA (497 nucleotides) under uncultured bacterium. Its description in RNAcentral is "partial 16S ribosomal RNA". It matches the Rfam family "Bacterial small subunit ribosomal RNA", at positions 28 to 507 of the family's 1533-position model. The record is from RNAcentral.
GAUGAACGCUGGCGGCGUGCCUAAUACAUGCAAGUCGAGCGAACAGACGAGGAGCUUUCUCCUCUUACGUUAGCGGCGGACGGGUGAGUAAAACGUGGAUAACCUACCCAUAAGACUGGGAUAACUUCGGGAAACCGGAGCUAAUACCGGAUAAUAUAUUGAACCGCAUGGUUCAAUAGUGCAAGACCGUUUUGCUGUCACUUAUAGAUGGAUCCGCGCCGCAUUAGCUAGUUGGUAAGGUAACGGCUUACCAAGGCAACGAUGCGUAGCCGACCUGAGAGGGUGAUCGGCCACACUGGAACUGAGACACGGUCCAGACUCCUACGGGAGGCAGCAGUAGGGAAUCUUCCGCAAUGGGCGAAAGCCUGACGGAGCAACGCCGCGUGAGUGAUGAAGGUCUUCGGAUCGUAAAACUCUGUUAUUAGGGAAGAACAAAUGUGUAAGUAACUAUGCACGUCUUGACGGUACCUAAUCAGAAAGCCACGGCUAACUACGUG